AGUGAACGCUGGCGGUAGGCCUAACACAUGCAAGUCGAACGGCAGCACAGUAAGAGCUUGCUCUUACGGGUUGCGAGUGGCGGACGGGUGAGGAAUACAUCGGAAUCUACUUUUUCGUGGGGGAUAACGUAGGGAAACUUACGCUAAUACCGCAUACGACCUACGGGUGAAAGCAGGGGAUCUUCGGACCUUGCGCGGUUGAAUGAGCCGAUGUCGGAUUAGCUAGUUGGCGGGGUAAAGGCCCACCAAGGCGACGAUCCGUAGCUGGUCUGAGAGGAUGAUCAGCCACACUGGAACUGAGACACGGUCCAGGCUCCUACGGGAGGGAGCAGUGGGGAAUAUUGGACAAUGGGCGCAAGCCUGAUCCAGCCAUACCGCGUGGGUGAAGAAGGCCUUCGGGUUGUAAAGCCCUUUUGUUGGGAAAGAAAAGCAGCAGGUUAAUACCCCGCUGUUCUGACGGUACCCAAAGAAUAAGCACCGGCUAACUUCGUG
This 492-nucleotide ribosomal RNA is filed under the name uncultured bacterium. RNAcentral describes it as "partial 16S ribosomal RNA". It matches the Rfam family "Bacterial small subunit ribosomal RNA", at positions 29 to 507 of the family's 1533-position model. The record is from RNAcentral.